Long non-coding RNA from Adelges cooleyi (spruce gall adelgid), 453 nucleotides. RefSeq lists it as uncharacterized. The record is from RefSeq and is a predicted model, not a curated record. The transcript is spliced from 3 exons. NCBI's taxonomy places the organism in Eukaryota, Metazoa, Arthropoda, Insecta, Hemiptera, Adelgidae.
UAAAAAAGUUUGGUAUUUUGUACGAAGCUCAAAAGACAUCCGGUAGAAUUGAUCCUGCGAAAAGUGAAAAAUUGUUCAAUGAUCUUGGUAUAACCGUAAACAACGAAUUGAAACUGCUAUUUAAAUCGGAUGGACGCGUUGGAAUAUUGUUGAUGGAUUUAAUCAUGGCUGCGGCAGAACGCAAUAAGAUUUUAAUGGAGAAUGAUUUAAGAGUGAUAAGUCCAAGCGAGGUCAUGUAUGCCAGAAACGACUUCAAUGAGUUUGACGAUAGUAAAGACGGUGAACUGUCUCCUAAGGAGUAUGCCGACAACAAGGCAUACUUAAACCCUAUUUCAAAAUCAAUGGAACAGUCGGCAAAACCUAUUAUUAAAAACGUAAACUUUGCGGAAUUCUUGGAAAUGCUAUAGUUUGUUGACGAACAUGAUAGCGUAGAAGACUCUAUGACAUCAAGUU